Long non-coding RNA from Oreochromis aureus, 375 nucleotides. RefSeq lists it as uncharacterized. The transcript has 3 exons. NCBI's taxonomy places the organism in Eukaryota, Metazoa, Chordata, Actinopteri, Cichliformes, Cichlidae. The record is from RefSeq and is a predicted model, not a curated record.
GCUGGGAGACACUUAAAAGAACUGGAGGAUCUAUCAGUUUGGUGAGGAAAGAAAAUAUGAGAGAUGCAUCUGGAGAUCAGCACACUGAAUCCUGUGCAGUCCUGCUCUAAAGGCUGAUCUGAAGAGUUUCACACAACAGCUACAGUUAUAGUCUCUAGUCUCCAAUUCCUACAGUAAACCCCCCACAAUGGAAAAACAUUGGGACAGUGGCCAGGGGUGCUGACACCCUGACUCCCUUCUCCUUUUAAGAUAGUUAUGAAUACAGGAUAAACACUGUGGGCUCCAGGAGACGGGGCAGAGGUAGUGAAGGUUGUCUGAAGGCACACUCAGACACUGUCACAGAAGGUUGCGGAGAUCCGUAACGCUGAAACGUCU